AACUUGAAUGUCUUACCAAUCAUUUUAUUUUGACUACAUUGUAAUACACUUGAAAUCACUUUGCAAAAUCAAGUGAAUACCAGCAUGUUAGAAACUAAUUAUUUUACAUGUUGGUCAAGGGUUCAUUGAUGCUCCAACUAUAUUAUACCCAUUGUUCAGGGUUCAGCGAAAAUCAACUAUUGUAUGCUAAUUACUUGUCUAUCACUUCUUUCUCCUUCAUUUCCUCUCUUUCCCUUAACUAGUUUCUUAAUCGAGGGUUUUAUUGGUUUUCCGAGGUAACUAAGAAUGGUAAAAGGAUGGUUGAAACGUUCCCUAUAUAGCCUUUUUUUCUGAAAAAAAAUGUAUAGCUAGCAUCAAGGGGUGUGCCUUCUCGGCCCUCCUCUUUCAAAGAAAAAUUACAACUAGUUAAUUUUGGUGACAUGCCCAUCCAAUAAAAACUAAUUGCUAAAUGUCAAUGUUUUGAAGCUUGUUUGUUGAUUCUUAAGGCAUGAGGUGGCAACGCAAUACAUAAAAACAAGGUGUGAGCACGAGGUGGCUGUUCAGUGAAUGAAAAUAUAAGGUGCAGGCAUGAGGUGGCGAUUCAAUGGAUGAGUAUAACCUGAAAAAUCUGAGAUGGCACUUGGUAAGUAUGAGGUCGGAAGAACAAGGUGGUACUUAAAUGGAUAAGUUUGAGGUGGCACUUCAAUAGAAAAGUCUAAGCUGGGGAAACACGAGGUAUCCUAUUGCUAAAGUAUUUGAUACGAGGUUUCCUAUUUCUUAAGAUUUUGCAACCUAGUCGUUCAACUUUUCUUAUAUUUUUAGUCCCUGGUGUCCUAUAUAUUCCUUAAAAAGCCUGCACAGAUAAUUUAUUUCCAAGUGGACUUCACAUAUACGCAUUGAUAUCCAAUAGAAUAGUCCAUAUAUACAUUCAAGGUGUUGGGGGUAUUAUUAAUCAUUGUUGCUGAUUUAUGUCAGUCCGCAUAUAUCCUCACCAUAUCCUCACAUAUAACACUCACCAGUUAACUGGGUGGGGCUACAUAUAUCCUUGAGGUCCACAUAUAAUACUUAACCAAGGGUCCACAUAUAUCCACUUCAAUAAACUGAAUCAGGUCAUAUAUAACACCUAGCCAAAGAUCCGCAUAUAUCCUUACUGGUGAUUCAAACGAGGCAAAGCACACCACCUAGCUGGAAAUCCUCACAUAAUUUUUAGAAUGCCUUUUUAACAAAAAAUUCACAAAAGACAUUAAAGAAGCUCCAACAGAAAUUCACCAACAUAGAAAAAGGUUCUCAUAUGUGCAUUAUUUGAAAAGUAAGCACAUGGGUAAUGGUCCA
This 1311-nucleotide long non-coding RNA is filed under the name Phoenix dactylifera (date palm). Its description in RNAcentral is "long non-coding RNA (PDAC_LNC004856)". Lineage: Eukaryota; Viridiplantae; Streptophyta; Magnoliopsida; Arecales; Arecaceae. The record is from RNAcentral.